This 447-nucleotide ribosomal RNA is filed under the name uncultured soil bacterium. Its description in RNAcentral is "bacterial SSU rRNA". It matches the Rfam family "Bacterial small subunit ribosomal RNA", at positions 26 to 518 of the family's 1533-position model. The record is from RNAcentral.
AGAACGAACGCCGGCGGCAUGCCUAAUACAUGCAAGUCGAACGAACACUUCGGUGUUAGUGGCGCACGGGUGCGUAACGCGUGGGAAUCUGCCCUUGGGUUCGGAAUAACAGUUGGAAACGACUGCUAAUACCGGAUGAUGACGAAAGUCCAAAGAUUUAUCGCCCAGGGAUGAGCCCGCGUAGGAUUAGCUAGUUGGUGAGGUAAAGGCUCACCAAGGCGACGAUCCUUAGCUGGUCUGAGAGGAUGAUCAGCCACACUGGGACUGAGACACGGCCCAGACUCCUACGGGAGGCAGCAGUAGGGAAUAUUGGACAAUGGGCGCAAGCCUGAUCCAGCAAUGCCGCGUGAGUGAUGAAGGCCUUAGGUUGUAAAGCUCUUUACCCGAGAUGAUAAUGACAGUAUCGGGAGAAUAAGCCCCGGACUAACUCCGUGCCAGCGAGCCGAC